GCAAGUCGAACGGUAACAGAACUAGCUUGCUAGUUGCUGACGAGUGGCGGACGGGUGGGUAAUGCUUGGGAAUUUGCCUUUAGGUGGGGGACAACAGUUGGAAACGACUGCUAAUACCGCAUGUUAGCUACGGUUCAAAGGGGGCUUCGGCUCCCGCCUUUAGAGAAGCCCAAGUGGGAUUAGGUAGUUGGUGAGGUAAAGGCUCACCAAGCCAACGAUCCCUAGCUGGUCUGAGAGGAUGAUC
RNAcentral lists this ribosomal RNA (244 nucleotides) under uncultured bacterium. RNAcentral describes it as "partial 16S ribosomal RNA". It matches the Rfam family "Bacterial small subunit ribosomal RNA", at positions 57 to 305 of the family's 1533-position model. The record is from RNAcentral.